RNAcentral lists this ribosomal RNA (476 nucleotides) under uncultured bacterium. RNAcentral describes it as "partial 16S ribosomal RNA". It matches the Rfam family "Bacterial small subunit ribosomal RNA", at positions 28 to 507 of the family's 1533-position model. The record is from RNAcentral.
GAUGAACGCUGGCGGCGUGCCUAACACAUGCAAGUCGAGCGGCAGCGAGGGGUGCUUGCACCCUGUCGGCGAGCGGCGGACGGCUGAGUAACGCGUGGGAACGUGCCCCAAAGUGAGGAAUAACUGCCCGAAAGGGUAGCUAAUACCGCAUAUUAUCUUCGGAUCAAAGGAUUUAUCCGCUUUGGGAGCGGCUCGCGUCGGAUUAGGUAGUUGGUGAGGUAAUGGCUCACCAAGCCGACGAUCCGUAGCUGGUCUGAGAGGAUGACCAGCCAGACUGGAACUGAGACACGGACGAGACGGCUACGGGAGGCAGCAGGGGGGAAUGGUGGAGAAGGGGGGAAAGAGUGAUGGAGACAAGGCGCGUGGGGGAAGAAGGGCUUGGGGUGGGAAAAGGCUUUUGUUCGGGAAGAAAUAAUCUGGGCGAAUACCCCGGGGGGAUGACGGGACCGGAUGAAUAAGCACCGGCUAACUACGGG